Molecule: long non-coding RNA, 224 nt
Filed under: Phoenix dactylifera (date palm)
Lineage: Eukaryota; Viridiplantae; Streptophyta; Magnoliopsida; Arecales; Arecaceae
Description: long non-coding RNA (PDAC_LNC011980)
Source: RNAcentral
AGGCUCUCUAGAGUAAUUACAAGAAAAAGAAGGAAGAAGUGCAUUGAAGUCUACUCUCCAACCGUCUUCCUCACAUUCAAGGCUCUCCUCCUGACAGCAAAUCUUCAGCAAAUUCAAGAGGAGUCAAAGAGUUUGAAAAGCCCCUUCCUCCACCUCCAAAAUCUGUUUGAGGGCUUCUAACUCUUCCUUGCUUAUAUUGUUUAAAUACGCUUUUUGAGAAGCUU